AGUGAACGCUGGCGGUAGGCCUAACACAUGCAAGUCGAACGGCAGCACAGUAAGAGCUUGCUCUUACGGGUGGCGAGUGGCGGACGGGUGAGGAAUACAUCGGAAUCUACUUUUUCGUGGGGGAUAACGUAGGGAAACUUACGCUAAUACCGCAUACGACCUACGGGUGAAAGCAGGGGAUCUUCGGACCUUGCGCGAUUGAAUGAGCCGAUGUCGGAUUAGCUAGUUGGCGGGGUAAAGGCCCACCAAGGCGACGAUCCGUAGCUGGUCUGAGAGGAUGAUCAGCCACACUGGAACUGAGACACGGUCCAGACUCCUACGGGAGGCAGCAGUGGGGAAUAUUGGACAAUGGGCGCAAGCCUGAUCCAGCCAUACCGCGUGGGUGAAGAAGGCCUUCGGGUUGUAAAGCGCUUUUGUUGGGAAAGAAAAGCAGCAGGUUAAUACCCCGCUGUUCUGACGGUACCCAAAGAAUAAGCACCGGCUAACUUCGUG
RNAcentral lists this ribosomal RNA (492 nucleotides) under uncultured bacterium. Its description in RNAcentral is "partial 16S ribosomal RNA". It matches the Rfam family "Bacterial small subunit ribosomal RNA", at positions 29 to 507 of the family's 1533-position model. The record is from RNAcentral.